RNAcentral lists this ribosomal RNA (429 nucleotides) under Bacteroidota bacterium. RNAcentral's name for it is "Bacteroidetes bacterium partial 16S ribosomal RNA". It matches the Rfam family "Bacterial small subunit ribosomal RNA", at positions 355 to 776 of the family's 1533-position model. The record is from RNAcentral. Lineage: Bacteria; Pseudomonadati; Bacteroidota.
UAGGGAAUCUUCGGCAAUGGGGGGAACCCUGACCGAGCAACGCCGCGUGAGUGAAGAAGGUUUUCGGAUCGUAAAGCUCUGUUGUUAAGGAAGAACGAGUGUGAGAAUGGAAAGUUCAUGCUGUGACGGUACUUAACCAGAAAGGGACGGCUAACUACGUGCCAGCAGCCGCGGUAAUACGUAGGUCCCGAGCGUUGUCCGGAUUUAUUGGGCGUAAAGCGAGCGCAGGCGGUUAGAAAAGUCUGAAGUGAAAGGCAGUGGCUCAACCAUUGUAGGCUUUGGAAACUGUUUAGCUUGAGUGCGGAAGGGGAGAGUGGAAUUCCAUGUGUAGCGGUGAAAUGCGUAGAUAUAUGGAGGAACACCGGUGGCGAAAGCGGCUCUCUGGUCUGUAACUGACGCUGAGGCUCGAAAGCGUGGGGAGCGAACAGG